RNA transcript from Gossypium arboreum, 1475 nucleotides. It is a transcript of the gene named B-box zinc finger protein 19-like, with no coding region annotated. The transcript has 7 exons. Lineage: Eukaryota; Viridiplantae; Streptophyta; Magnoliopsida; Malvales; Malvaceae. The record is from RefSeq and is a predicted model, not a curated record.
CAGCGCGUCAAUGUUGUGUUGUGCUCAAGGCAAUUUCUUUUCUCGUAGUUUCUCUGAGUCUACGAAAAACAAAAGUAGCUGCUUUGCUCCUCUGUUUUCAGCUUCUCCAUUUAUCGAAAAUCCUUUUUUUUUUUCGAUUUAUCAUCUCUAGUUUCAAUCACUCUUUCGUUGUAAUUGAAAUGAAUAGUUAUUUGUAGAAUCAUUGAAUCCGUUUCUUUUUGAAAAUUUUUAUCAGUUCUCUUCAUCGUUCUGUGAAAGAAUGCCGUCAAAGCGAAUAAAGUAAGGAGUUAAACACAAAAAAGGAAACAAAUAAGCCAAAAUGCGAACGCUUUGCGACGUUUGUGAGAGAGCCGCCGCGAUCAUUUUCUGUGCUGCCGACGAGGCCGCUCUUUGCCGUUCCUGUGACGAAAAGGUUCACAUGUGUAACAAGCUUGCAAGUAGACAUGUGAGAGUUGGGUUUGCUGACCCCAGUGAUGUCCCACGCUGUGAUAUAUGCGAAAAUGCACCAGCUUUCUUUUACUGUGAAGUAGAUGGCAGUUCCCUUUGCUUUCAAUGUGAUAUGAUUGUACAUGUUGGAGGUAAAAGGACCCAUGGGAGAUAUCUCUUGUUGAGGCAGAGAGUUGAGUUUCCAGGGGAUAAGCCUGCUCAUUUGGAGGAACUCGGGUUGCAACCGGUUGAUCUGAAUGAUGUAAGAAAGGACCAAAAAUGGCAACCUAAUUUUGCAGGGAGAGAGAACCAGCAAAAUCAUAAACACUCCCUUGUUCCGGCGCUUGACGGUAAUGAUGAUGGAGACGGAAAGGUAGGUAAUAAGUUGAUUGAUCUAAAUACCAACCCCCAACGGCUGCAUGGCCAGGCUUCAACGAUUCAGGAGCAAGCCAUGGAUGUUUCAAGUAAGAAUAAUCAUGACUCUGCAAGUGUGGUCCCUGUUGGAUCCUUCAAAAGAGAGCCUGAUAAAUGAUCUAGAUAUUGGUGGACAAAUGGUUUAAAGGCUCUCUGUUUCUUAUGUUACAUUCCUUGUUCCAUGAACAAGUAAAAAAAAAAAAGUGUCAACUUUUGGAGAUAAGCUUCACCAUGUAACGUAGUGAAGUGAAGCCAGACAAGUGGCAUUCAUGCGAGUAACCCUUCGUGAACCUUCGACGAUUAUGCUUGCACACAGUCCACAGCUCAUCCCUCGUGACACAUUUCUCAUUGUAUCCACCUUGUCAUAAUCGUCACGUACAACCUCGAGGAAACUAAUGUUGGAGAAGAACAACCUAUGGCCAUGUAGGAUCAUGCAAUACACCCAAUAAUUGUUUUGGAAUGACACUAAUAAUCGUGUCACGACGUGCAUGCAUUGAGGUUAUGAAUCAACACAAUUAACUCUAAAUAUUUAGCGGUGCUUUGCAAGUGUAAUAGGUUGACUUGUAAUAUUUAUAAUGUUACAAUGGAACACUCGAAUAUUCCAAGCAUCAAACUUAAGAGAGUUUGAGGAUAAA